This 497-nucleotide ribosomal RNA is filed under the name uncultured bacterium. RNAcentral's name for it is "partial 16S ribosomal RNA". It matches the Rfam family "Bacterial small subunit ribosomal RNA", at positions 28 to 507 of the family's 1533-position model. The record is from RNAcentral.
GAUGAACGCUGGCGGCGUGCCUAAUACAUGCAAGUCGAGCGAACAGACGAGGAGCUUGCUCCUCUGACGUUAGCGGCGGACGGGUGAGUAACACGUGGAUAACCUACCUAUAAGACUGGGAUAACUUCGGGAAACCGGAGCUAAUACCGGAUAAUAUAUUGAACCGCAUGGUUCAAUAGUGAAAGACGGUUUUGCUGUCACUUAUAGAUGGAUCCGCGCCGCAUUAGCUAGUUGGUAAGGUAACGGCUUACCAAGGCAACGAUGCGUAGCCGACCUGAGAGGGUGAGCGGCCACACUGGAACUGAGACACGGUCCAGACUCCUACGGGAGGCAGCAGUAGGGAAUCUUCCGCAAUGGGCGAAAGCCUGACGGAGCAACGCCGCGUGAGUGAUGAAGGUCUUCGGAUCGUAAAACUCUGUUAUUAGAGAAGAACAAAUGUGUAAGUAACUAUGCACGUCUUGACGGUACCUAAUCAGAAAGCCACGGCUAACUACGUG